GGGGCGGUAGCGCAGCGGCAGGCGCACCUUCAUGGCAUGAAGGACACGCCGGUUCGAAUCCGGUCCGCCCCA
RNAcentral lists this transfer RNA (72 nucleotides) under Streptomyces sp. NPDC006668. Its description in RNAcentral is "tRNA-Ala". It matches the Rfam family "tRNA". From Rfam's summary of the family: Transfer RNA (tRNA) molecules are approximately 80 nucleotides in length. The record is from RNAcentral. Lineage: Bacteria; Bacillati; Actinomycetota; Actinomycetes; Kitasatosporales; Streptomycetaceae. RNAcentral also lists the same sequence under 1 other name.